GCCUUCGUGGUGGAAUGGUAGACACGCAGCCUUGAGGUGGCUGUGUCCUUACGGAUGUGGGGGUUCGACUCCCCCCGAAGGCA
This 83-nucleotide transfer RNA is filed under the name Nephroselmis olivacea. RNAcentral's name for it is "tRNA-Leu". It matches the Rfam family "tRNA". From Rfam's summary of the family: Transfer RNA (tRNA) molecules are approximately 80 nucleotides in length. Their secondary structure includes four short double-helical elements and three loops (D, anti-codon, and T loops). Further hydrogen bonds mediate the characteristic L-shaped molecular structure. tRNAs have two regions of fundamental functional importance: the anti-codon, which is responsible for specific mRNA codon recognition, and the 3' end, to which the tRNAs corresponding amino acid is attached (by aminoacyl-tRNA synthetases). tRNAs cope with the degeneracy of the genetic code in two manners: having more than one tRNA (with a specific anti-codon) for a particular amino acid; and 'wobble' base-pairing, i.e. permitting non-standard base-pairing at the 3rd anti-codon position. The record is from RNAcentral. Lineage: Eukaryota; Viridiplantae; Chlorophyta; Nephroselmidophyceae; Nephroselmidales; Nephroselmidaceae.